Molecule: long non-coding RNA, 1201 nt
Filed under: Notechis scutatus (mainland tiger snake)
Lineage: Eukaryota; Metazoa; Chordata; Lepidosauria; Squamata; Elapidae
Description: lncRNA (ENSNSUG00000014783.1)
Source: RNAcentral
GGUCUCUGCAGCUGGUCGGCCACCAUAUUGGGGUUGCUCGCCGCCCGUCAGGCCUCGGCGCCACUUCUCCUUGCGGCCGCCCGACGAGGCGACUGCCCGGGGCAGGAUCCCGCUCCGAUUGGCCAGCCUUCCACCCCGGAUUAGGCGGAGGAGAUCGCGAACGACGGGGCUGAAUUCAUCUGGAGGCCUUAGCAGCAAGUGAGAUCAUGGAGGAAAAUGGUGAAGAUGUGGCUUCCCUGGCGGCCUACAUUUCAACAGAUGGCAGCUACACAGCGCCAAAUCUGCGCCCUCGGCCCCUGACCGCUGCAGAGAGGAUGCGUAAUCUUCGUUGCCGGCAAAGAAAGAGAAGGGGAGAUACUUUGAAAGAGCUGAUGGAAGUCACCUCCCAGGCUACCAGUGAACUAGUCCGGACAUUGUCCGACCUCACACAUAAAGAGGUGGCUUCUUUUGAGCGUGCUUAUAAGGAGGACCUGGCGGCCAGGAAGGACGAGAUGGAGCAGAGCGCUGAGGACAUUGGAAGGCUCGUGAGCGCUUUGGAAUCAAGCGAUCAAACUCUGAAGGAGCAGCUAAGCAGCCAGACCAGCGUACUGCAGGGCAUCUUGGAGGUCAUGAAAGACAUUCGGGGUAGAACAUCAUACAGUCCUCCGUAUCCAUCACAGUAUUACGAUUUCCCAGGCCCUAGCAUGAUUCACACAAGUGGUACUUCCUCAAAUGGCCAAGAGAUGCCAUGCUCCUCCCCUUCCAGCCUUCCAUUUCCUUCCCAGCAGUCUGCCACAAGCAACGGAGAUGUCUCUCCUCGGAAGCGGAUGAAAUGAAGCCAACAGUCGGAACGGCACUGAUGAUUUAGCGUCCUGGUGGAAACCAAUUCUCCAAUUCUUUGUUCCUGUUAGGACACAUAUAUUGCUUUCCUUACUGCCUUUCUUCUUGCAUAGUUAAAACAUGUUCUCAUCCCCCUUACGUGUGUCUCCCCCACAACGUUAACGUUGGGGAAACAGCCGCCAGCAAAUGUACAUCUAGAUUUAUUAUUACUUUUUUUUAGCGUACCUAUGUUAGUUUUCCUUCCAUCUUGUUUCCAAAGGAAUGCAGUGUUUGAUGUACAAGUAUAAUUUUUUUUUUUAAAAAAAUACAUACUUAAAACACAUUACCAGGUACCUGUAAGAGGGUAAUAUUUGAAAAGUAAUAAAACUGCACUGUUGUUCCA